UCAAGAGAACGUGAAAUCGUUGAAGUGGAAACGGAGAGAAUUAAUAUAGUCUAGUGAAUAAAUGCUACAAAAUCGCAUACGAACGUAUGUGAUCUAGUAACAUGUAUGUCACUAACGACUACGCUGACAAUAUUGAUAGCACAUUCCGUACUGUGAUAAAUGAACAUGUUGCCCAUUAUUAUUAUAAUAGUGGUGUCAUAUGUUUUAACAGUUCGAGUUUGUUGCAAGAUGUGAUAUUAAUAUUUCAAUAGUGCAAAAUUUGAAUUCGUUUCAUUUUUUGCAAUGAUG
This 288-nucleotide ribosomal RNA is filed under the name Dictyocaulus filaria. RNAcentral describes it as "partial 28S ribosomal RNA". The record is from RNAcentral. Lineage: Eukaryota; Metazoa; Nematoda; Chromadorea; Rhabditida; Metastrongylidae.